This 499-nucleotide ribosomal RNA is filed under the name uncultured bacterium. Its description in RNAcentral is "partial 16S ribosomal RNA". It matches the Rfam family "Bacterial small subunit ribosomal RNA", at positions 28 to 507 of the family's 1533-position model. The record is from RNAcentral.
GACGAACGCUGGCGGCGUGCCUAAUACAUGCCAGUCGAGCGAAGUUUUUCUGGUGCUUGCACUAGAAAAACUUAGCGGCGCACGGGUGAGUAACACGUAAAGAACCUGCCUCAUAGACUGGGACAACUAUUGGAAACGAUAGCUAAUACCGGAUAACAGUAUUUCUCGCAUGAGAGAUAUUUAAAAGUUGGUUAUGCUAACACUAUGAGAUGGCUUUGCGGUGCAUUAGCUAGUUGGUGGGGUAAAGGCCCACCAAGGCGACGAUGCAUAGCCGACCUGAGAGGGUGAUCGGCCACACUGGGACUGAGACACGGCCCAGACUCCUACGGGAGGCAGCAGUAGGGAAUCUUCCGCAAUGGGCGAAAGCCUGACGGAGCAACGCCGCGUGAGUGAAGAAGGAUUUCGGUUCGUAAAGCUCUGUUGUUAGGGAAGAAUGGAUAUGUAGUAACUAUACAUGUAAGAGACGGUACCUAACCAGAAAGCCACGGCUAACUACGUG